Molecule: long non-coding RNA, 1338 nt
Filed under: Eucalyptus grandis
Lineage: Eukaryota; Viridiplantae; Streptophyta; Magnoliopsida; Myrtales; Myrtaceae
Description: long non-coding RNA (EGRA_LNC006247)
Source: RNAcentral
GGAAUUAGAAACAUUUUCAACUUCCUCAAGUACUCCCAUAAUUUCCCCUAGUUUUCCAUUUGGAGAUAGUACUGGUGUUUAGAACCACGCAUAGUUUAAUUGGAAAAGCUUUGUUCCCCACAACGUAGUAUUAUGUUGGGAGGGAGGUGAGCUAGUUUAGUGUCCUAGUGAUUACAUUUCAUCUUCUUCUACAACUUAGUAUUAUGUUGGGAGGGAGUUGAGCUAGUUUAGUUUCCCAGUGAUUACAUUUCAUCUUCUUCUAGUUCUUAGCUUACUGUUGUGAUAUUGUACUUUUUUUUUUCCGGUCGGAGUGUUAUUGUAGUUCAUGUUUAGGAAGUGUAUUCUAAAUGUUCAUCCAAUGUGAAUUCUAGCUAAUUCAGUUAAUCAUCUAUAAACCAAAUCACCCAUUUUCUGUAGAAUAUUCAUCAAAGAGUGCUGCAAAACGUGCCAUCUUACAUAUACUUGCCAGUGGCUGUGUCCUCUUUGAAUUGGUGUAAAUCAUUCUUUUUUCCUCGAUUGCUCAGGUGGCAGAGUAGUUUUUAUUUGUGGUUAUUGCAUUUAGAAGUCGCACAGCAAUUGGCUUGCCGAAAUUCAAAUUCUUUAUUCACCAAUUGCAAUAAAAAUUUAUUUUCUUCACAAUUCAUUUACUUGGAUCGAAAAUUGAUCAAAUUCUUGAGAAAAUAGCGAUGGGGCGAUCAUAUGGUCUUGAAGGUCACAUUAGCUCUAAAUUUUAAAUGAUCAAGAGAAAAUGGGACAAUUACUUAGAAAAGUCUCGCAACUUGUCAACAUAAUACAUUUGAGUUUUAAAACUUUCAUUUUAUUCGUCUAAGUCUUAAAAUUUGUAACUUGGUGCGCAUGAUCCUUCCGUUAAGCUGCGAAUGCCUUCCAAGCCACUUCAAUACCCAAGCCAUCAUGUGCUGCGUAUGACAAAGGUGAAACCUUGAUUGAAUUGGAAAAUUGGUCAACUUUAUCCGGUGUUCCACUAAUUUCUUCUUCAUCCCAAUGUGACGAUGAGAUUGAGUUUAAUUAAGGAUGAUCCUUCCCAUUUAAUCAAUGUGACACCGAUGACACGUUGGUUUUGAAAAAAAAUAAUAAAAAUGCAACAGGUGAAUCACACAUAAUGUAUCCUGGGGUGGUGUUCUUGUAAUACAUGAAUCUUGGGGAAGGGAAACCUAUCUUCUUCUGUUUGGGUUGCAUCAGAGGGAGUCAGGAAUUGGGAAUGCAAGCCCAUGAGCGCCACUACCCAAACCGACCGACUUGUGGAACCUGCUGAUGGCAUAUGAUUAGUUGGAUAGGCUUUAAAACGGUUUUGGUACGUUGGAAGAAGCUACAUGCGCC